UGAAAACUACAAUCAGCAGGGAAUUGGG
RNAcentral lists this small RNA (28 nucleotides) under Bombyx mori (domestic silkworm). Its description in RNAcentral is "piRNA piR-bmo-2162946". Lineage: Eukaryota; Metazoa; Arthropoda; Insecta; Lepidoptera; Bombycidae. The record is from RNAcentral.